CCUACGGGAGGCAGCAGUGGGGAAUAUUGGGCAAUGGGCGCAAGCCUGACCCAGCAACGCCGCGUGAAGGAAGAAGGCUUUCGGGUUGUAAGCUUCUUUUCUGAGGGACGAAGAAAGUGACGGUAACUCAGGAAUAAGCCACGGCUAACUACGGGCCAGCAGCCGCGGUAAUACGGAGGUGGCAAGCGUUAUCCGGAUUUAUUGGGAGUAAAGGGGGUGUAGGCGGGAAAGCAAGUCAGAUGUGAAAAGUCAGGGCUCAACCCUGGGCCGGCAUUUGAAACUGUCUUUCUUGAGUGCGGGAGAGGUAAACGGAAUUCCUGGUGUAGCGGUGAAAUGCGUAGAUAUACGGAGGAACACCAGUGGCGAAGGCGGAUUGCUGGACAGUAACUGACGCUGAGGAGCGAAAGCGUGGGGAGCAAACAGGAUUAGAUACCCGUGUAGUC
Molecule: ribosomal RNA, 443 nt
Filed under: uncultured bacterium
Lineage: Bacteria
Description: partial 16S ribosomal RNA
Rfam family: Bacterial small subunit ribosomal RNA
Source: RNAcentral